UAGGGAAUCUUCGGCAAUGGGGGGAACCCUGACCGAGCAACGCCGCGUGAGUGAAGAAGGUUUUCGGAUCGUAAAGCUCUGUUGUUAAGGAAGAACGAGUGUGAGAAUGGAAAGUUCAUGCUGUGACGGUACUUAACCAGAAAGGGACGGCUAACUACGUGCCAGCAGCCGCGGUAAUACGUAGGUCCCGAGCGUUGCCCGGAUUUAUUGGGCGUAAAGCGAGCGCAGGCGGUUAGAAAAGUCUGAAGUGAAAGGCAGUGGCUCAACCAUUGUAGGCUUUGGAAACUGUUUAACUUGAGUGCAGAAGGGGAGAGUGGAAUUCCAUGUGUAGCGGUGAAAUGCGUAGAUAUAUGGAGGAACACCGGUGGCGAAAGCGGCUCUCUGGUCUGUAACUGACGCUGAGGCUCGAAAGCGUGGGGAGCGAACAGG
Molecule: ribosomal RNA, 429 nt
Filed under: Verrucomicrobiota bacterium
Lineage: Bacteria; Pseudomonadati; Verrucomicrobiota
Description: Verrucomicrobia bacterium partial 16S ribosomal RNA
Rfam family: Bacterial small subunit ribosomal RNA
Source: RNAcentral